UACGGGGGGAGCAAGCGUUGUUCGGAUUUACUGGGCGUAAAGGGCGCGUAGGCGGCCAGCACAAGUCAGUUGUGAAAUCUCCGAGCUUAACUCGGAAAGGUCAACUGAUACUGUGCGGCUAGAGUGCGGAAGGGGCAACUGGAAUUCUUGGUGUAGCGGUGAAAUGCGUAGAUAUCAAGAGGAGCACCUGCGGCGAAGGCGGGUUGCUGGGCCGACACUGACGCUGAUGCGCGAAAGCCAGGGGAGCGAACGGG
RNAcentral lists this ribosomal RNA (254 nucleotides) under uncultured bacterium. Its description in RNAcentral is "partial 16S ribosomal RNA". It matches the Rfam family "Bacterial small subunit ribosomal RNA", at positions 524 to 776 of the family's 1533-position model. The record is from RNAcentral.